UUAAAGGGAGCGUAGACGGGAUGUUAAGUCAGUUGUGAAAUGCUGUGGCUCAACCAUAGCACUGCAGUUGAUACUGGCGUUCUUGAGUGCGUAUGAGGUAUGUGGAAUUCGUGGUGUAGCGGUGAAAUGCUUAGAUAUCACGAAGAACUCCGAUUGCGAAGGCAGCGUACCAAUCCGUAACUGACGUUGAUGCUCGAAAGUGUGGGUAUCAAACAGGAUUAGAUACCCUGGUAGUCCACACGGUAAACGAUGGAUACUCGCUGUUGGCGAUACAAUGUCAGCGGCCAAGUGAAAACGUUAAGUAUCCCACCUGGGGAGUACGCCGGCAACGGUGAAACUCAAAGGAAUUGACGGGGGCCCGCACAAGCGGAGGAACAUGUGGUUUAAUUCGAUGAUACGCGAGGAACCUUACCCGGGCUUAAAUUGCAUCUGACAGGUCAUGAGACUGACUCUUCUUCGGACAGAUGUGAAGGUGCUGCAUGGUUGUCGUCAGCUCGUGCCGUGAGGUGUCGGCUUAAGUGCCAUAACGAGCGCAACCCUUGCUUCCAGUUGCCAUCAGGUCAUGCUGGGGACUCUGGAAGGACUGCCAUCGUAAGAUGUGAGGAAGGUGGGGAUGACGUCAAAUCAGCACGGCCCUUACGUCCGGGGCUACACACGCGUUACAAUGGGGGGUACAGCAGGCUGCUACCGGGCGACCGGAUGCCAAUCCCUAAAACCCCUCUCAGUUCGGACUGGAGUCUGCAACCCGACUCCACGAAGCUGGAUUCGCUAGUAAUCGCGCA
Molecule: ribosomal RNA, 782 nt
Filed under: uncultured Bacteroidota bacterium
Lineage: Bacteria; Pseudomonadati; Bacteroidota
Description: bacterial SSU rRNA
Rfam family: Bacterial small subunit ribosomal RNA
Source: RNAcentral